This 253-nucleotide ribosomal RNA is filed under the name uncultured bacterium. Its description in RNAcentral is "partial 16S ribosomal RNA". It matches the Rfam family "Bacterial small subunit ribosomal RNA", at positions 524 to 776 of the family's 1533-position model. The record is from RNAcentral.
UACGGGGGGGGCAAGCGUUGUUCGGAAUUACUGGGCGUAAAGGGCUCGUAGGUGGCCAACUAAGUCGGACGUGAAAUCCCUCGGCUUAACCGGGGAACUGCGUCUGAUACUGGAUGGCUUGAGUUCGGGAGAGGGAUGCGGAAUUCCAGGUGUAGCGGUGAAAUGCGUAGAUAUCUGGAGGAACACCGGUGGCGAAGGCGGCAUCCUGGACCGGUAUUGACGCUGAGGCGCGAAAGCCAGGGGAGCAAACGGG